GUUAAGAAAACAUAUAGAGUGGGGCGCUCAUAUUCGCCGUGGACACAAUUUCGCCGUUUUAUGAUUUUGAGGUGUAAAAACUUCAAAGGAUGGUUGAAAUGGAAGAAAUAUGCCGGUAAAUUAUAUUUUUAUAACAAAUAUGAUUAUUUUUGAAAAUGAGACUAAAUUUCGGCACUUACCGCAAAGGACCGAAAAAUGGACAACGAUUUUCAGCCAAUUUCCUGAAUGAAAAAAACGAUUUAAAAGAAGUAUUUCUUAGUAAUUCUGUGACUUGUUGCCCUAAACUUCAGUUUUUUUUACACCUUUCAAAUGUCUGCUAUUCAUCUAUAAUGAAAUUUAUUUGAUAAAUAUUGUUUAAAGCUGCAAUUAUUUGGUUUAAAUUAGAUGUGUAAAAACGGCGAAUAUGUGUCCCCCGUUGACAAAACAUUAGGAAAUUUCAAACACCCUUUAAUCCAACUUUUCAGAUGAUUUUUCUCAAAACAAACACGUUUUAAAGCUAAGAAUAUUUUGCAUGUGAAGUUAUCUUCAUAUAGAAAUAUCAGUAUACUUCAAAAACAUAAAGACCUGAACAUAAACCGAAGAAAACAUGGAAAGAUAUGGCGAAAAUGAGCACCCCACUCUAAUUUUGGAAAUUCUGAAGAAUUUAUACUGUGAACAUCAACAGUUUUACGAAAAAAUCUCAUACUCUUGCCUGCAAUAAAUGUAUCUUUUGAACCAGAAAUGUAUGUUCAUCUGUUAUAAUUAUUUUAAUAAUGUCCCAUAGGUGAUAUUGACACCACCAGUUGUACAGUUGUUUAAAUGUGAAAGCCUUUC
This 813-nucleotide long non-coding RNA is filed under the name Mytilus galloprovincialis (Mediterranean mussel). Lineage: Eukaryota; Metazoa; Mollusca; Bivalvia; Mytilida; Mytilidae. The record is from RNAcentral.